RNAcentral lists this ribosomal RNA (468 nucleotides) under uncultured bacterium. RNAcentral describes it as "partial 16S ribosomal RNA". It matches the Rfam family "Bacterial small subunit ribosomal RNA", at positions 28 to 507 of the family's 1533-position model. The record is from RNAcentral.
GACGAACGCUGGCGGCGUGCUUAACACAUGCAAGUCGAGCGGAAAGGCCCUGCUUUUGUGGGGUGCUCGAGUGGCGAACGGGUGAGUAACACGUGAGUAACCUGCCCUUUACUUUGGGAUAACUUCAGGAAACUCGGGCUCAUACCGGGUAGGAGCUCCUGCUGCAUGGUGGGGGUUGGAAAAAUUCGGCGGUUGGGGAUGGACGCGCGGUUUAUCAGCUUGUUGGUGGGGUAGUGGGUUACCAAGGCUUUGACGGGUAGCCGGCCUGGGAGGGUGACCGGGCUCAAUGGGACUGGGAGAGGGGCCAGAGUGCUACGGGAGGCAGGGGUGGGGGAUUUUGCGCGAUGGGCGGAGUGCGGAAGGAGCGACGCCGGGUGCGGAAUGACGGCUGUCGGGGAGGAAACCGCGUGCGCCUGUGACGAAGAGUGAGUGACGGUAAUGGGUAAAGAAGCACCGGCUAACUACGUG